GACUCUUCAAAAGUGUCAAACGGAUGUGUAUCGGAUACUGCAAAAGUACAGCAUUUUGAAGAAUCCGACACAGGUGAAAUAACAAUUUUGGAGAGUUAGCAACUUAGAAGAAAAAAACAAAAUUCUCACUCCAAAAACAAUGAGUCCACAUGCAAACAGUCACCAAACAUGUUUGAAAACAGUUCUUAGGGAACUCCAGCCUAGCACAACUGUAUUGAAUCAGAAUGGCAGGUGUUUAUUUGUCACAACUCACAGAGGACAUGUAACCUUGAUAGAACAAAUAGCAUUCUAAUAUUUCUUAAUUGAGAACGUAAACAGCAUUUUGUGAAAGUAGGGAUGUUCCGGAGUCACAAUUGUUGAUGGGAAAUUUGGGUGAUUCACAGCAUCAGGGAAUCCUUGAGUCUCCAAACACACGGCUGAAUAAGGCUGAUAGACAAAUCCACCUUUCCCUUUCUUUACAAGGGUGUUUGCAGUGUAUAAUUGGACAGCAGGUGCGGUCGUUUGUAAACUCAUCACUCUUCCUGACUUAUUAUCGUGAACUGUUGCCGUGGGCUUCAGUUUUUCAGUGCUGUCUAGUGGAUAGUUUAUGUCAUAUCCAUUUUGGAGUUUCUUGAACUGGCUCCCAAUUUUACGGGGUUUAAGGAAAUCAUAGGGCGUGUUCUUGACAGGGGCGAUUUUUCCUGUUGGAAUGAAAUGUUGAUCUAAUGGGGUGAUGUGUGAAGCAAAGAUUUGAAUAUCGUUGGACAAAACAUCGCCACUGUUGUGUCCACCAAGGUUCCAAUAAGUAUGUUGAGCCAAGUUAACUGGAGUGGCCUUGUUUAGAGCUUUUGCUUUCAUUACCACACUAAGCUUGUUAGGGUCUUCCAAUGCAUAGGUAACAGAGGCAAGAAGAUCACCAGGAAAUCCUUGUUCACCAUCAGUACUGUGGUAGGUUAAAGUAAUGUGAGGAUGAGGACCAUCUUUCUUGUACUUGCUCACCUUCCAAACAACAUGGCUAAAUCCUUUAGGGCCACCGUGUAUUGUGUUCUUGCCAUCAUUGGCGAUAAGCUUAUAAAGGGUUCCAUUUAGAGUAAAUCGAGCACCAGCAAUCCGGUUAACAACUCUUCCAACAAUAGCUCCAAAGGAACUCGUAUCGUUCACGUAUUCCCCAAUGGUGUCAUAUCCAAGAACAAUAUCACCUAUUUUUCCAUUCUUAUCAGGAAGAAGAACAGAGAUGAUUCUGGCACCAUAACUAGUGACCUUAACAGAGAAAUCUCCUUUCUUGAUCUCAUAAAUUCCUAUCUUGUGUCCUGUAGCAGCCCAUAGAUGAAGAAUGAAGAAACAGAUCAAC
This 1330-nucleotide unclassified non-coding RNA is filed under the name Hevea brasiliensis (rubber tree). Lineage: Eukaryota; Viridiplantae; Streptophyta; Magnoliopsida; Malpighiales; Euphorbiaceae. The record is from RNAcentral.